GGGGUCUGUUAAUGAUAAGUUAGAUUAGAUUAGAUUAGAACAAAUUGUUAAAUUUGUAUAUAUUUUUUUCUUUGGCAUUUACAAGAAAAUAAAAUUAUACCACAAAUGUGCAACGACAAGUAGCCUUCAGUAUCCUGAAGUUUUGUUGCAUAACUAAAGAAGAAGAAAAACAUAAGUAUUUUGAUAAACAUCUUUAAUCACUACAAUUGCACAAUUAACAAGCUCCCCAUACAAUGAACAAGAUCUUCUGAAAUGAACACUACAUUGAAAAAAUAAUAAAUAAGUCUACAACAACAUAUAAAAUAUGAUUUAAAAAAUAUGUGGGAGACUAGUACAUGUUUUAACUUGACACUUUUUCUAGAAAUUACAUUAGACGAAAUAAUCGAAUUACAUGUACAUACAAUUAAGUCAGAAAUCUCACAAGAAAUAUAACUGAGUACUACUCCAUAAUACAUUAAUAUGAUAAUGGGUCUGAUUACUGGCCUUGCUGACUUGAUCUAUUUGUUGUUUUGAUACUAUUAGAAAAAAAUAUAUAUUUCAUUUUUGAAAGAUAAAACAGAAAUUAAACAUCUAAUCUUGUAAAUCAUGUUUAUUUUUAAGCCUCAUUAUAAAUCAUGUUUCAAUUCUUUAUCUCUUCCAAAGAAAAUAAAACAAACCGAUAACUUUCCCUCUACAACACCAUUUCAUAAUAAUUUCAUAUUUAAUAACAAAAGCUUAUUACAGACAUUUGUUUGGAUUAUAAUGAGUAGUUUUUGACUAUUAUAUAGUAAUUUUAAAUACAAACAUGUAAUAGAUAAAUAAAAGUAGAUACACAGAAAGGAGUAAGUUAGCACCAAAUUCAGAAAUUAUUGCAAGUUUUUUCUUAACACGAAUAAUGCAACUUUGUGAGUAUUGCAAUAAUAAAAACUCGUAUUCUGAUAUCUAAUACAUAUAUCUGUAUCCCAGAUUUUCCUAAAAUCACAUUAAUUUAUGUCGCAUCAUUUUUAUUUUUGAAAAUCGCAAUAAUAAAUGCAUGCAAUAAUUUCUGAAUUUACAGUAUUUAAUGGAGGGGUUAAAUAUUGAUUUAAAACUGAAAUGACAUUAUCAUUGUUUCAUAAAUAAUACAUGGUAUAAUCAAAUAAUUCAAAAUGACAUAAACUUCAGUUCUUUAAAAAGAUUGCAUGUGUAGUUGUAACAAGCAUACUCCAACUUGUAAAGUAUCAGAAACCAGGAAGUAGGUAUAUGGGUUAACUUUAAAACUCCUCACUUUCAUUCUAUUGACCAUAUAUGAAGUCAUUCUGCACAGAUAUACUUGAGUAACGGUGAAAUAAUAUUUAAUACAAGUUUAUUAAACAUAUUCGAGGUACUGGAAUAGAUUCAUAAUUGUCAAGCUACUGUCAGUAGUACUUGAGAAAAGAAGAACAGAAAUAUUUGUCAGAAAGGCAGACAGUCAGAACGACGAAUGGAAAAGGUAAAUUCUAAAAACCUGAAAGAGUAGGGCUUAAGUUACUUUUAGGUUUAUACAAUUAUUUCAUAAUGACUUUUUUUAUUAUAGAACCUUGGAUGCAUCUUUUUACCACAAAAUAUAUACAACAUUAAUUUUUCAUACCAAAACAAAUGUAAACUUAAACUCAUUUACACAUGGAAAACACACUCUAAUUGAUAAUUGUACAGCUGAUAAACAUUAAAAGAUCAAACUUCAUGCAAGAACAUAAUAAGUCAUAAUAUCAUAAAUGUGAACCUCAAAACUAUAUCUAACAGAAUAUAAAAUAAUUUUGGAUGUAAUGCGUCUUCUGAUUGGCUGACGUUAUUUUGUUAUCAGACCAUAGACAUAAUUUAGUCAUGUGACCGUGACGUCAUCAACGUUUUUUCAAGGUUUUCUACGGUUUAAAGUGAAAUUUAGAAUUAAAUUAUAAGAAAUGACUGUAAUAUUUUUUCUGUCUAUUCGAAAUAACAUAAUAAAUGUGACGCACAUUGUUAAAUAACCCGCUACGCGCG
RNAcentral lists this long non-coding RNA (1977 nucleotides) under Mytilus galloprovincialis (Mediterranean mussel). The record is from RNAcentral. Lineage: Eukaryota; Metazoa; Mollusca; Bivalvia; Mytilida; Mytilidae.